CGCCUAAACAAAAAUUAAUUCUCUCAAAUCCAUACAUAUAAUUUAAAAUAGGACACACUAGUCCCUCGAAAUACAAACUGUUCAAAAUAAGUGUACUGGAAAAAAAAUUUACACUCCUUUCGAACCAGGUAACCCCAUUUGCAAAACAUAUAUAAAAAUAUGCAGCGAACCCAUGAUAUAAAUACAUUUUCUGAUAAAAAUGCAUCAAUCCCAAAAAUAUGUAAUGUAUGUACUGACAAGACUAGACAUACAAUAAAUACACCAUGUGGCUCCACUCGCAGAUCGACAAGCUCCAAUGUCACUCAACGUAGCUACCAUCUGCUAAGAAAAAUGGUGAUAAAAAUAUGAGAUUG
RNAcentral lists this long non-coding RNA (353 nucleotides) under Olea europaea subsp. europaea. The record is from RNAcentral. Lineage: Eukaryota; Viridiplantae; Streptophyta; Magnoliopsida; Lamiales; Oleaceae.